UACGUAGGGUGCAAGCGUUGUCCGGAAUUAUUGGGCGUAAAGAGCUCGUAGGCGGCUUGUCACGUCGGGUGUGAAAGCCCGGGGCUUAACCCCGGGUCUGCAUUCGAUACGGGCUGGCUAGAGUGUGGUAGGGGGAGAUCGGAAUUCCUGGUGUAGCGGUGAAAUGCGCAGAUAUCAGGAGGAACACCGGUGGCGAAGGCGGAUCUCUGGGCCAUUACUGACGCUGAGGAGCGAAAGCGUGGGGAGCGAACAGG
RNAcentral lists this ribosomal RNA (254 nucleotides) under uncultured bacterium. RNAcentral describes it as "partial 16S ribosomal RNA". It matches the Rfam family "Bacterial small subunit ribosomal RNA", at positions 524 to 776 of the family's 1533-position model. The record is from RNAcentral.